Molecule: long non-coding RNA, 735 nt
Organism: Alligator mississippiensis (American alligator)
Lineage: Eukaryota; Metazoa; Chordata; Crocodylia; Alligatoridae
Exons: 2
Source: RefSeq, a predicted model, not a curated record
CUGAGAGGCAAGGAGAUGUCUUUGAGGCUGAACACAAUGAGAACAUUUGCAAGUGCAGACUUGGAAGUAGAGCUGGCCAUAAAACAAAAAUCCCAUUCCCCGACCAAAAUGGAGCUUUCAGAAUGUAUUUUUGUUCUGCAGCAGACUAAGCUAAGCCGCUUUGAUAGAGAGACUGUGAAGAAGAAGAGCCCGUGGCCAGGUGGUGAGGGCACCUGCCCGGCAUGUGACAAUGACAGGUUCAGAUGCCUGCUUUGAAUCAGACAUCCCCAGGCAAUAUAAUCCAGCCCAGAAGUUUUGGGGUGCAUGCAUCCUGGUUGGAUCCACAGUCAUGCCCCACCCCUGCCUCUCCUUCUGCACACAGCUUCUCCAUGGGAGCGAAGAUCGACAGUCUACCUCUUUUCCAGGAGCAAUAGAGCCCCUUGCAAUGCAGAAGGACCCAUGCUCUCGAUCAGCUCCCUGUGGCGCAGUGAACCCAAGGAGCCGCUCAUAGGACUCUGUUGUGGGCCCCCCUCUCCUGCCCAUUGCUGAAGGGCAGGUUGAGUGGUGCAGGCCCCCAGAUCUACCUAUUGGGGAGCCCCAAGUCCCAGACUGCCUGGGUAUGGGUGAAGCGUUCCCCAAGAGGGUGCCACCUAUAGACUUUGCUUUGUAGUUAAUAGUGUUUUAAAUUAUAUUUAGUGUUUUCUUUAGGGAUUUUUUGUUUUUAUUCUCUGUAAUAAAUUUGAGUUUUUGUGUUUA